RNAcentral lists this long non-coding RNA (1061 nucleotides) under Homo sapiens (human). RNAcentral describes it as "long independently transcribed non-coding RNA 3037 (LINC03037)". The record is from RNAcentral. Lineage: Eukaryota; Metazoa; Chordata; Mammalia; Primates; Hominidae.
CUGGACAGCCGUGAAAGAAAUUGGGACUGAUCUUUGGACAGGAGGAUGGCUGUGUCCCCUCCUGAGGUCAGAGGGGGACACUGCUUCCAGACAGGGCCUGCAGCUGAGCUUACAGCCUCUCCCGACAUGGCCACGUGAUGAUUUGGUCAUGCCUUCUGAUGAAUGGCUAUCUGCUUAUGUGCCUAGAUCCACCAGAGUUGUCACAGUUACAGGCCAGUUACUAGGAGGCCUCUUCUGAAUGUGACAUGGGAGGAGGGUCUCCCCUUUUCUCUUGGGGAGACACUGAGGUGAAAUAGGCCUGCACCAGCCAAUACAGAGGCAGCAAGUAGAGUCCUGAAGACACUCACUUGGCUGCAAAAGAGACCAGGGGUUUCCUCCAGCUGCCUGGUUGGCUGCUGCUCUGAGAAGAUACCAGGCCUCUGCUCCGGUGGCUUCAGGGAGGCCACCCUGGACACAGCCAGCAGAAGCAGGUCAUCGAUGGAGGGGUCAGCCUACAAGGACACAGCCAAGUUCAUGUUCUUUGGGAGGUGGCAGCCAAGGACUUGGUGCACUGCAAGGAGGUCAGGGAAACAGAGACAGAGAAGCUGCUUCUCCAAACUUCAGUGACCACACCUGUGUUCCUGCAGCUGAGUGUCUCUCAGAAUGGGUGUCUCUUAGGGACACACUGCUGUAGCUCAACACAGGAGCAUUGCCAACACUUUGAGCUGGAGAAUAACACAAACCACAGAUGAGCCUCUUGGAAUGACCACUGUGGGGACCUGAAGGUGUGUACUGGAGGCUGGACAAGCGUUGAGGGGCUCCCCUGGCGAGCAUCUGUGACAGGUUUGAUGAGGCCUGUUCCCAGCAGUGGCAGUGAGACUGGCAUGUCUGGAUGACCUCUACCCAGAGGCCCAGCUUUAUUGCAGGCUGGCUCUGAAUCCUUUCAUCUCUGGCCGCAGCCGGACAAAGUGCCAGAGCUGAGCAGCUGCCUCAGUUCUCCAGCCCCUGUGCUCUGAGAGGCCACACAGGGGACAGAGAUCAGAGGAGCCGACACCAAAGUGAUGCAACUGCCCUCCCAGGAA